UACAGAGGUCUCAAGCGUUGUUCGGAUUCAUUGGGCGUAAAGGGUGCGUAGGUGGCGCUGUAAGUCAGGUGUGAAAUUUCGGAGCUUAACUCCGAAACUGCAUUUGAUACUGCGGUGCUUGAGGACUGGAGAGGAGACUGGAAUUCACGGUGUAGCAGUGAAAUGCGUAGAUAUCGUGAGGAAGACCAGUGGCGAAGGCGGGUCUCUGGACAGUUCCUGACACUGAGGCACGAAGGCCAGGGGAGCAAACGGG
Molecule: ribosomal RNA, 253 nt
Filed under: uncultured bacterium
Lineage: Bacteria
Description: partial 16S ribosomal RNA
Rfam family: Bacterial small subunit ribosomal RNA
Source: RNAcentral